CUAAUUUUUCUGAAUUUUGGAGAGGAGUCAAAUUUUCUCUCUCUUUUCCAUUUAAUAGGUAUAGAGAUGGUUUACUUUACUUGAAAAUUUUGAGUCAAUCUUUUAUAGGAAAUAAGUUGAAGUUAAAAUAUUAUCUUGAUUCAUGUGGUUAACCUGCUAUAUUUGGAAAGAUCGCAUACUUAUACUAGACUAAAGGAUCAAAAAUAUUUCAUCUAGCUAGCCUUUUUAGGUAAGGUCGUGGAUUGAUGCAAAUUAUAGAUUAAAUUAUAAAAAAAAUGAAGUACAAAUUUAGACAAAUGUAAUGGCUAGCUAUUUUAGAUGAGAUUCUAAAUUAUUAUAGAUUAUGGGUCAAUUCAAAAAAAGAUUUAAAGAAUUAAAUUGAGGCUAAUAUCAUGAUUGAAUCAAGCUAAGUUAUUAUUUUGCUUUCACUCUAUUUGAGAGCCCGUUUUUGAUUGAUUGAUUCUUUGACAAAAGCCAUACCAAAUCAAAGAAUAAAACAAUUUUUCAUUUAAUUUGCUAACAAGGAGGACAAGCCUCAACAAAGCUAAAAUCUACAGGAGAUACAUCCGUACCUAAAAGACACAAUCAGUGACAUCAACUGAGGUGGGCAUCUUUUGUUUAUGGACCAUACACUCAUUGUUGCCCUCCUAGUAUCCUAGCGAUAACUUUAAGCCAAAUAUUUUUGUCUACAAUAAAACAAAGAAGGCAUACAUAUCAUUAAUAUACAAGUAUUGAUUUAAAAUCAAGGUUGAUCACCAAAUUAAUGCUAUUCACUUAAGAGAAGAAGUUAUUUUUUCUGAAAUUAAAAAGGCCGAAGAAAGUCCUCCGCUCAUCCUUACAUAAAUAAAUAAAUAAAUAAAGUCCCCUGCUCGCUGCCUCCAAC
Molecule: long non-coding RNA, 883 nt
Filed under: Phoenix dactylifera (date palm)
Lineage: Eukaryota; Viridiplantae; Streptophyta; Magnoliopsida; Arecales; Arecaceae
Description: long non-coding RNA (PDAC_LNC007909)
Source: RNAcentral